RNAcentral lists this ribosomal RNA (495 nucleotides) under uncultured bacterium. Its description in RNAcentral is "partial 16S ribosomal RNA". It matches the Rfam family "Bacterial small subunit ribosomal RNA", at positions 28 to 507 of the family's 1533-position model. The record is from RNAcentral.
GACGAACGCUGGCGGCGUGCCUAAUACAUGCAAGUCGAACGCUGAAGGAGGAGCUUGCUCUUCUGGAUGAGUUGCGAACGGGUGAGUAACGCGUAGGUAACCUGCCUGGUAGCGGGGGAUAACUAUUGGAAACGAUAGCUAAUACCGCAUAACAGUAGAUGUUGCAUGACAUUUGCUUAAAAGGUGCAAUUGCAUCACUACCAGAUGGACCUGCGUUGUAUUAGCUAGUUGGUGGGGUAACGGCUAACCAAGGCGAGGAUACAUAGCCGACCUGAGAGGGUGAUCGGCCACGCUGGGACGGAGACACGGCCCAGACUCCUACGGGAGGCAGCAGGAGGGAAUCUUCGGCAAUGGACGGAAGGCUGACCGAGCAACGCCGCGUGAGUGAAGAAGGGUGUCGGAUCGUAAAGCUCUGUUGUAAGAGAAGAACGAGUGUGAGAGUGAAAAGUUCACACUGUGACGGUAUCUUACCAGAAAGGGACGGCUAACUACGUG